AAGAUGGAACAUUGCAAGCCAUGAGUGAAGCUCUUGGAACGCGCUGGGGACCUGGUCUCUUCAUUCAGGGUGUGGGGGACAUGUGAGCUCCUCAGAUGCAACAGAGUUUUGGGCAAAGCUCCGGACAGAUGGAUGUCUUGCAUGUAGGACAACAUCUUUAUGAAGAGCAGGGGGUGUGUGUCUACAUGUAAGGGCACUUUGACUGAGCCUGGUGGGACAUGUCCUGAGAACCUGUUUGGCAUCCAUGUGGAUCCUGGCUGUGAAGAUGCUGAAGGCACAUCACAUCGGACUCUGGGUCUCUCUUCCUGGGCUUGACAGAUGCAGCUCUUAGAGCUGAGAGCUGGACCUGCCUCCGGGAGCCCGGCUUCCCUGCCGGGCUGUGCCGCCACUGCCGUUCACAUGGCUUCUUUACGGGAGCCGCUCCUUUGUCUCAGGGAAGGAGGGCUUUCCUGAAUCCCCCAGCUUUGCCCAGCCCCUAUCUGAGUGUACCGGGAUUGGGAUGAAACCACAGUGAGGGAGAGGGGUGGGGAGGUAGAGCAGCUCCCUUUGCUCCCUGGGCUGGGUAGGCUCUGCUUGAUUAGCAUGAGAAUAGGGAGACUUUCCUGCAUCCUCCCUCAGGGAUGGAGAGGAAGGAGCAAAGGCUCUAGCUCCAUCAUACCCCAUCAGAGCUCCUGGGACUGAAAAUGACUACCACCCCAUUCCUCCGAUCCCCGAGGACCCAGAACCCACAGUGUUGAGAAAAGCUUUGACGGAGCCGGCGGGUGGAUCUCCACUCCAGAUUUUCCAGCUGUCCCUGCCCCCCCACCGCUCGGAGCAGGAUGCCGAGAUGGCUGGUGAUGCAGAAGAAGGAUCACUGGCACACAGGGACCGAGGUGCCAGACCACGGGUUCUGGGACCACGGUGGUUCCCUCCUUCUCCUCUGAGAACACAAAAAGGCAGAUGGACCCACAUGCCCAUGAGGAAAUGUCCAGCUGUCCUCUAAGAUGUGUCUAUUACAGACACUGAACGCUGGAUCCCAGGAAAACGCCCAGCGAGGGUUGUGGCUGGAGGCUGAGGGGCUCCCCCCACCUGCGUGCAGUAGGGUGAAGGUGUGUGAUCCCCACACACGGGAUGGGAGCUGCUAGGGCCCGGUGCCCUCACCCUCGCCCCAUGGUCUCGCCUUGCCUUCCAGACAUGCUCAGACUCUUGUUCCCAAAGCCUUCAUUGGAGAAGGCCUCCUUCCUGUGGAGGAAGGGCCACGGGCUUGGUCUCAGCCACCUGCUCAGACCUCAGGAAGAGACUAAAGGGAGAGCUGUCUUGUCCUGUCACCGCCGAGGCCUCUGUUCUGUGGGCCGGUCACUGCACAGCUGUGUCCCAUGACUCAGCAAGGUCAUGGCCACCCCAGGAUGACACCCACCGCGGGGUCUGGAAAUUCUCCCUUCUUCACAGCUUCUGUGAUAGACUUCCCUUCCUCCUCGGCCGUGGGGCUCUCCAGCAGUUGUCUGACUAUUUGGAGAUCUCUUUGAGGGCUUGGGGGUCUGUGCUGAGGAGCUCAAGAGACUGAAGUUUCUACCGUGUGUGCAGGAGGCGUGCAGACGUGCAAGGCUCCAGGUGAUUCUUCGCUGGCUUUACAUGCAUGGCCCAGCCAGCAACCACUGAGCUAGCCUGGGGGGCCGGGUGAUGGUGGUACAUUGACCUGUUCCUCUUCACAACAUUCCUGCAAGGUGGACGCGACAUCUUUCUUUUCCGAUAAGACUCAGAGAGGCUCAGCCAUACGCCCGAAGGCAAGUGCUGGUGCCUGGAGGAUGUGAAGGUAACGCCACAUUACACUCCAAACACCGCGUCCCCCCAGGCUUCUGCCUGCAGUGGUAGGAUUUCCUGUUUGGCCUCAUGCCCGCCAGGGUUUGGAUCAGUCAGACCUGCACGUGCUUCCCUGUGGAUCGUGAAGCUCGGUCUCACCGGGGUUGCUGCGUUCAUUUCCUGGAUGCCCUGUGAGGAGGGUAAUCUGUUGUAAAGAUUAAAUCCAGUUUUCCCCCCUGCAUCGCACAUGCCUGGCUACAUCCCUCCUCCAGCCCGCAGGAACUUCAGAUGCCUUUGAAUAUGCGGAGAGCCAGGGAGGAGAGCUGAAGGAAGCCGCUAAGCCUUGGGAAUUAUGUGUGCUGCCACCAAUCCUUUUUCUAUUUGUAAAUGUCACGGAGGGGUGUGUGUGUGUGUUUGUGUGAGCAUUUCUGUAAUAUUUUUUAUUUAUGCAGAAACAGAUUGGUAUUUGGUUAAGAUUUUAGGAUCUGGAGAAAAACUUCCUGGAAUCAAAUUCUGACUUGUCUACUAUGUCCUUGUGACCUUGGGCAGGUAACCUACCCUCUUCACCCUUUGUUUCUCUAGCUAAAUGAUGGACACCAGAAUUUUUCCCAUCCGCAGGGCUGUGGUUGGGCCUGGAGAAUCCCCCAAAAGUCGUGAGGAUGCCCCUUCUCCCUCUCAGCUUCCCCACAUGGGCUGUCUGUGCCCCCAGGCCCCAUGUGCUCCCCUCCCCCAGAAGAGAACCUCGGCCUGUUCCCAUCUGAUGCUGUGGGGCUGGCAAGUAGCUAAUCUGUGUAA
This is a long non-coding RNA of Lutra lutra (Eurasian river otter), 2574 nucleotides long. RefSeq lists it as uncharacterized. The transcript is spliced from 9 exons. The record is from RefSeq and is a predicted model, not a curated record. NCBI's taxonomy places the organism in Eukaryota, Metazoa, Chordata, Mammalia, Carnivora, Mustelidae.